GAUGAACGCUGGCGGCGUGCCUAAUACAUGCAAGUCGAGCGAACAGACGAGGAGCUUGCUCCUCUGACGUUAGCGGCGGACGGGUGAGUAACACGUGGAUAACCUACCUAUAAGACUGGGAUAACUUCGGGAAACCGGAGCUAAUACCGGAUAACAUGUUGAACCGCAUGGUUCAACAGUGAAAGACGGUCUUGCUGUCACUUAUAGAUGGAUCCGCGCCGCAUUAGCUAGUUGGUAAGGUAACGGCUUACCAAGGCAACGAUGCGUAGCCGACCUGAGAGGGUGAUCGGCCACACUGGAACUGAGACACGGUCCAGACUCCUACGGGAGGCAGCAGUAGGGAAUCUUCCGCAAUGGGCGAAAGCCUGACGGAGCAACGCCGCGUGAGUGAAGAAGGUCUUCGGAUCGUAAAACUCUGUGAUUAGGGAAGAACAAAUGUGUAAGUAACUAUGCACGUCUUGACGGUACCUAAUCAGAAAGCCACGGCUAACUACGUG
This 497-nucleotide ribosomal RNA is filed under the name uncultured bacterium. RNAcentral describes it as "partial 16S ribosomal RNA". It matches the Rfam family "Bacterial small subunit ribosomal RNA", at positions 28 to 507 of the family's 1533-position model. The record is from RNAcentral.